This 253-nucleotide ribosomal RNA is filed under the name uncultured bacterium. Its description in RNAcentral is "partial 16S ribosomal RNA". It matches the Rfam family "Bacterial small subunit ribosomal RNA", at positions 524 to 776 of the family's 1533-position model. The record is from RNAcentral.
GACGAAGGGGGCUAGCGUUGUUCGGAAUUACUGGGCGUAAAGCGCACGUAGGCGGCUUGGUAUGUCGGGUGUGAAAUCCCCGGGCUCAACCUGGGAACUGCAUCCGAAACUGCCUUGCUCGAGUAUGGGAGAGGGAAGUGGAGUUUCCGGUGUAGCGGUGAAAUGCGUAGAUAUCGGAAGGAACAUCAGUGGCGAAGGCGACUUCCUGGACCAAUACUGACGCUCAGGUGCGAAAGCGUGGGGAGCAAACAGG